GAGACUUGACAUCCCNNGAAGAUNUGUGAAAGCAGAGUUUGCCUUUNGGCACCCGGAACCAGGUNGCAUGGUNGUCGUCAGCUUGUNUUGUGAGAUGGUGGGNUAAGUCCCGCAACGAGCGCAACCCCUAUCCUUUAGUUGCNGCGGGUAAGUUGGGGAAUUUAAAGGGACCGCCGGUGACAAACCGGAGGAAGGUGGGGAUGACGUCAAAUCAUCAUGCCCCUUAUGNCCUGGGCUACACACGUGCUACAAUGGCCGGUACAGAGGGAAGCGAAGGAGUGAUNUGGAGCGAAUCCCAGAAAGCCGGUCUCAGUUCGGAUUGCAGGCUGCAACUCGCCUGCAUGAAGUNGGAAUCGCUAGUAAUCG
RNAcentral lists this ribosomal RNA (366 nucleotides) under uncultured bacterium. RNAcentral's name for it is "partial 16S ribosomal RNA". It matches the Rfam family "Bacterial small subunit ribosomal RNA", at positions 976 to 1344 of the family's 1533-position model. The record is from RNAcentral.